RNAcentral lists this unclassified non-coding RNA (1738 nucleotides) under Hevea brasiliensis (rubber tree). Lineage: Eukaryota; Viridiplantae; Streptophyta; Magnoliopsida; Malpighiales; Euphorbiaceae. The record is from RNAcentral.
CUCACGGAUUUUGAGUGCUUGCCCAUUUUCAUCACAAGAUUACAAAGUCAAUUAAGGAGAUUUGAGAUUUGAAGACGACAAAUAAAGGAAUAAAUAUUAACAGGAUAUUGCCCAAACACGUUAGAAGAAAGGUAACAUUCUGAAAGCCUGUGAAAAAGGCAUGAAUAUUAACAGCCUUUGUGUUUCAAUCUACUGAAACCUAAUAGCUCUGUCAUCCACUCUGGACAACUUUAAUUUUCUUGUUCAGAGAUUUGAAGGUAUACCAUCUGGGUAUAGCCAUUAAAUACAGAUGUCUCUAGUCUACCUAGACCAAGCCGCUGAAACAGGCCAUAGCGACCAUCUUCCACAAUAGGUGAGGUAGUUCGAGCAGGAUCAUACCGUGUUUGAUGAGUGAGGGAAGGACCAGCUACCGGAGGAAGCUCCCAAUAAACAUCCAGGAUUGAUUCAAUAAACCGGCUGUUCUGAAAAUGUUCCUCAUAGGAAAUUGGCUUAUUACUGUGAUUAAAGUUAUCCCGCAUAAAGCCUCUAACACCCCACCAAGCUUCAUUUGGGCCACAUAGUUCAUCUAUAUCAACUGCCUUCUCCCAGAAUUUCUUCCUUUUUGAUCUAAUCCUGGUUUCGUCACUAUCCCUAAAGCAGCUAUGACCGCCUCCUCUUAUAUAGAACUGAUCACAUAUCUGCCUUAAGGAAUAAUGAUCUCCAGUUCCAGUAUCAUAGUUGUCCUCAAAAACAAGAUGUUGAAAGCCAGCAUUCAAUGCUUGCUUUACUCUUUUUAAUUCAUUCUGAUGGUCGUCAAAGAAGAUAAGAACUCGACUGAGAUCAAUAAUCCCAUGUUUCUUCAUCACAUUCUUCCAUUCAACACUUCCAAAAUCCACAAAAUCUUUUCCAGCAAAGUAGGUGCAGUUUCCAUCAACAUAAGCAGGCCCCUUUUUUAGGUAUUUCUCUGGAUGUCUGGGUGACAGUGAAAUAAUUGGUGUGUCUGGCAUUGCUUGUCGCAGAACCCAAGUGGAAUGCCCCUUGAAAGCACCACUCUCAAUCAUCAGAUCUGGCUUCAGCCACCUUGCAAUAAACCAAAGCCCAAAGCUGUGGUCAAAACCCAUUCCAUACAUGUUGUUUUUUAUUGGCCUAGUUUCGUAUAUUGGUACAAACUCUUCCAAGCCCUUGAUUAAAUCCUUGGAUGUCCACUCCACCGUUUUUCCAUGUUUCGAUCUGCACCAAGGAACACCAAGGGCUCCAAAGUCCGACUCGAGACCAUCAAGCCCGAAAAAUCCGACCCGUGUCUUAGGAUCGAAAGGAGAAACGCAGACGAAAUCCCGCGAAUGAUAAAGCAGCGACGCAAUAUAAACGAAUACAAAGAGGAGGCAGAGGAUGAGACACGGGGUAGGACAAGGGCAGAAGUGGGACAAGCGGGACAUGUAAUUAGCAGCCAAUAAAGAGAGGCUCUGUUUCUUGGUCUUGGACUCGUCGCCCAAUAUAGUCGAAGUGUCGGAAUCGGAAACGGCGUCGUCGGGGUGGGGAGAAACCCGACGGGAGGAGAGGACUCGCUCCAGCAUCUUAGCGGAGGAAGUGGUGGUCUUGGGACUGUGGGGUUGCUUCAGAGCGUGCAUAGUGAAUAUUUUCUGUUGUCAAAGUUUUAACCUUUUCCUUCAAGUUUCAGUCUUUGAGACAACCAUAUCAUGCUCAGGAGACCGGCGAUCAAGUCUUGAGCUUUCUACUUUAUUUUAUUUUGUAUUUUCUC